RNAcentral lists this ribosomal RNA (779 nucleotides) under Kocuria turfanensis. RNAcentral's name for it is "bacterial SSU rRNA". It matches the Rfam family "Bacterial small subunit ribosomal RNA", at positions 69 to 856 of the family's 1533-position model. The record is from RNAcentral. Lineage: Bacteria; Bacillati; Actinomycetota; Actinomycetes; Micrococcales; Micrococcaceae.
AUGAUCUCCCGCUUGCGGGGGUGAUUAGUGGCGAACGGGUGAGUAAUACGUGAGUAACCUGCCCUUGACUCUGGGAUAAGCCUGGGAAACCGGGUCUAAUACUGGAUACUACUCCUCAUCGCAUGGUGGGGGGUGGAAAGGGUUCUACUGGUUUUGGAUGGGCUCACGGCCUAUCAGCUUGUUGGUGGGGUAAUGGCUCACCAAGGCGACGACGGGUAGCCGGCCUGAGAGGGUGACCGGCCACACUGGGACUGAGACACGGCCCAGACUCCUACGGGAGGCAGCAGUGGGGAAUAUUGCACAAUGGGCGGAAGCCUGAUGCAGCGACGCCGCGUGAGGGAUGACGGCCUUCGGGUUGUAAACCUCUUUCAGCAGGGAAGAAGCCACAAGUGACGGUACCUGCAGAAGAAGCGCCGGCUAACUACGUGCCAGCAGCCGCGGUAAUACGUAGGGCGCAAGCGUUGUCCGGAAUUAUUGGGCGUAAAGAGCUCGUAGGCGGUUUGUCGCGUCUGCUGUGAAAGCCCGGGGCUCAACCCCGGGUCUGCAGUGGGUACGGGCAGACUAGAGUGCAGUAGGGGAGACUGGAAUUCCUGGUGUAGCGGUGAAAUGCGCAGAUAUCAGGAGGAACACCGAUGGCGAAGGCAGGUCUCUGGGCUGUUACUGACGCUGAGGAGCGAAAGCAUGGGGAGCGAACAGGAUUAGAUACCCUGGUAGUCCAUGCCGUAAACGUUGGGCACUAGGUGUGGGGGACAUUCCACGUUCUCCGCGCCGUAGCUAAC